This 795-nucleotide ribosomal RNA is filed under the name uncultured Gemmatimonas sp. RNAcentral's name for it is "bacterial SSU rRNA". It matches the Rfam family "Bacterial small subunit ribosomal RNA", at positions 8 to 796 of the family's 1533-position model. The record is from RNAcentral. Lineage: Bacteria; Pseudomonadati; Gemmatimonadota; Gemmatimonadia; Gemmatimonadales; Gemmatimonadaceae.
AGAGUUUGAUCAUGGCUCAGGACGAACGCUGGCGGCGCGCUUAACACAUGCAAGUCGAACGGAGGUCUUCGGACCUCAGUGGCGAACGGGUGCGUAACACGUGAGCAACCUGCCUGGUCGUGGGGGAUAACCAGUGGAAACGCUGGCUAAUACCGCAUGAGCUCUUUUGCCCGAUUGGGUGAAUGAGGAAAGCUCCUGCAAGGGAGUACGACCAGAGGGGCUCGCGGCGUAUCAGCUAGUUGGAGGGGUAACGGCCCACCAAGGCGAUGACGCGUAGCCGAUCUGAGAGGAUGAUCGGCCACAUUGGGACUGAGAUACGGCCCAGACUCCUACGGGAGGCAGCAGUGGGGAAUCUUGCGCAAUGGGCGAAAGCCUGACGCAGCGACGCCGCGUGCGGGAGGAAGCUUUUCGGAGUGUAAACCGCUGUCAGAGGGGAAGAAAUGCCACCUGAGGAAAUGCGGGUGGUUUGACGGUACCCUCAAAGGAAGCACCGGCUAACUCUGUGCCAGCAGCCGCGGUAAUACAGAGGGUGCAAGCGUUGUUCGGAAUUACUGGGCGUAAAGCGCGCGCAGGCGGCCCUUUAAGUCUGUCGGUCAAACGCCGGGGCUCAACCCCGUGCUCGCCGCGGAUACUGGAGGGCUGGAGACAGGUAGAGGCAGGCGGAAUUCCGGGUGUAGCGGUGGAAUGCGUAGAGAUCCGGAAGAACACCAGAGGCGAAGGCGGCCUGCUGGGCCUUGUCUGACGCUGAGGCGCGAAAGCGUGGGGAGCGAACAGGAUUAGAUACCCCGGUAGUCC